Molecule: ribosomal RNA, 939 nt
Filed under: Russula sp.
Lineage: Eukaryota; Fungi; Basidiomycota; Agaricomycetes; Russulales; Russulaceae
Description: partial large subunit ribosomal RNA
Rfam family: Eukaryotic large subunit ribosomal RNA
Source: RNAcentral
AUAUCAAUAAGCGGAGGAAAAGAAACUAACAAGGAUUCCCCUAGUAACUGCGAGUGAAGCGGGAAAAGCUCAAAUUUAAAAUCUGGUGGCCUUUGGUCGCUCGAGUUGUAAUUUAGAGAAGCGUCUUCCGCGCUGGACCGUGCACAAGUCUCCUGGAAUGGAGCGUCAUAGAGGGUGAGAAUCCCGUCUUUGGCACGGAUGCACCAGGGCUUUCGUGAUGCGCUCUCAAAGAGUCGAGUUGUUUGGGAAUGCAGCUCAAAAUGGGUGGUGAACUCCAUCUAAAGCUAAAUAUUGGCGAGAGACCGAUAGCGAACAAGUACCGUGAGGGAAAGAUGAAAAGCACUUUGGAAAGAGAGUGAAACAGUACGUGAAAUUGUUGAAAGGGAAACACUUAAAGUCAGUCGCGUCGACCGAGACUCAGCCUUGCUUUGGCUUUGGUGUGCUUCUCGGCCGACGGGUCAGCAUCAAUUUUGCCCCUCGGAUAAUGGCAAGGGAAAGGUAGCACCUUUACGGGUGUGUUAUAGUCUCCUGUCGCAUGCGAGGGUCAGGAUUGAGGAACUCAGCACGCGCCUCUCGGUGUCGGGGCUUCGGCCCACGCUACGUGCUUAGGAUGCUGGCGUAAUGGCUUUAAAUGACCCGUCUUGAAACACGGACCAAGGAGUCUAACAUGCCCGCGAGUGUUCGGGUGGAAAACCCGUGCGCGUAAUGAAAGUGAAAGUUGGGACCCCUGUCGUGGGGGGCACCGACGCCCGGACCAGACCUUCUGUGACGGAUCUGCGGUAGAGCGUGCAUGUUGGGACCCGAAAGAUGGUGAACUAUGCCUGAAUAGGGUGAAGCCAGAGGAAACUCUGGUGGAGGCUCGUAGCGAUUCUGACGUGCAAAUCGAUCGUCAAAUUUGGGUAUAGGGGCGAAAGACUAAUCGAACCAUCUAGUAGCUGG